This 303-nucleotide unclassified non-coding RNA is filed under the name Hevea brasiliensis (rubber tree). The record is from RNAcentral. Lineage: Eukaryota; Viridiplantae; Streptophyta; Magnoliopsida; Malpighiales; Euphorbiaceae.
UGCUUCCCAUCUGGACACCUUUCAUUUGCAUAAAAUGAAUCCCCCUGCACACUCCUGCAAAAUUUCCUCUUUGCUUUCAUGUCACUUCGAUGAACAUUCCCACAUAUAUCUGCAACGAGAGAAAUGCCGUCAACACUUUCGAAACUCCUUUUCUCUGUCUUAUUUAUAACAUCUAAAACAGAGCCUAGACUUCGCAAACUCUUACUACUUUCAUGCAUUUUUAACAAAGAAGACGCUCCAUUUAUCUCAGAAUCCUCAAGGCCCCCUUUAUUAUCACCCAAAUCAACAGUAUCUCGGCCCCCG